GACGAACGCUGGCGGCGCGCUUAACACAUGCAAGUCGAGCGAGAACCUAGGCUUCGGCCUAGGGGACAGCGGCGAACGGGUGAGUAACACGUGGGUAAUCUGCCCCUCGACAUCGGGAUAGCCCGGGGGAAACCCGGAUUAAUACCGAAUGGCCCAUCCGCUCUUCGGAGCGGCUGGAAAAGGUAGCUUCGGCCUCCGGUCGAGGAGGAGCCCGCGGCGGAUUAGCUUGUUGGUGAGGUAANGGCUCACCAAGGCGACGAUCCGUAGCUGGUCUGAGAGGACGAUCAGCCACACUGGGACUGAGACACGGCCCAGACUCCUACGGGAGGCAGCAGUGGGGAAUCUUGCGCAAUGGGCGAAAGCCUGACGCAGCGACGCCGCGUGCGGGAAGAAGGCCUGG
RNAcentral lists this ribosomal RNA (400 nucleotides) under uncultured bacterium. RNAcentral's name for it is "bacterial SSU rRNA". It matches the Rfam family "Bacterial small subunit ribosomal RNA", at positions 28 to 419 of the family's 1533-position model. The record is from RNAcentral.